This is a microRNA precursor of Gadus morhua (Atlantic cod), 64 nucleotides long. Ensembl annotates it as gmo-mir-30c. Its record names the gene gmo-mir-30c. NCBI's taxonomy places the organism in Eukaryota, Metazoa, Chordata, Actinopteri, Gadiformes, Gadidae. The record is from Ensembl.
UGUAAACAUCCUACACUCAGCUGUAGCCACGUUGACCACAGGCUGAGAGAAGGCUGUUUACUUU